AUGUGUUUACUGCGUUUUCUGUGCCCUUUGCCCUGCUGUGACAUCUUUGGUAUAUUCCAACUUGUUGCUCGCUCUUUAUGGGCUACACGUUGCCUCGAAGAUCACCAUGAUCGCCUCCGACUCAGCCACAUCGAAGAAUCAAAAUGAGCCUGGAGACACCACAGCCGGAAUGCGAAAGGUUGGAGAAGUGCUCAUUCAGAUGAUCCUGGCACAGCUUGCCAUGGUGGACCAGGCAAGCUUGCAAGGGCCUUGAUUCACCAUGUGUUCACAAAGAACCUCAUGGGCCACUCACUUCUCGGAAACAACACCACCAAUGGGCAAAAACAGGCUCUUGGCCUUAUCAGGGUCAACACUGUU
Long non-coding RNA from Dermacentor silvarum, 357 nucleotides. RefSeq lists it as uncharacterized. Lineage: Eukaryota; Metazoa; Arthropoda; Arachnida; Ixodida; Ixodidae. The record is from RefSeq and is a predicted model, not a curated record. The transcript is spliced from 3 exons.